RNAcentral lists this ribosomal RNA (439 nucleotides) under uncultured bacterium. RNAcentral describes it as "partial 16S ribosomal RNA". It matches the Rfam family "Bacterial small subunit ribosomal RNA", at positions 339 to 795 of the family's 1533-position model. The record is from RNAcentral.
CUACGGGCUGCACCAGUGGGGAAUAUUGCACAAUGGAGGAAACUCUGAUGCAGCCACGCCGCGUGGAGGAUGACACUUUUCGGAGCGUAAACUCCUUUUAUAUAGGAAGAAGAUGACGGUACUAUAUGAAUAAGCGCCGGCUAACUCCGUGCCAGCAGCCGCGGUAAUACGGAGGGCGCAAGCGUUACUCGGAAUCACUGGGCGUAAAGAGCGUGUAGGCGGAUUAAAAAGUCAGAAGUGAAAUCCUAUAGCUUAACUAUAGAACUGCUUCUGAAACUCUUAAUCUAGAAUAUGGGAGAGGUAAAGGGAAUUUCUGGUGUAGGGGUAAAAUCCGUAGAGAUCAGAAGGAAUACCGAUUGCGAAGGCGAUCUACUAGAACAUUAUUGACGCUGAGACGCGAAAGCGUGGGGAGCAAACAGGAUUAGAUACCCUCGUAGUC